RNAcentral lists this long non-coding RNA (296 nucleotides) under Lupinus angustifolius (narrow-leaved blue lupine). RNAcentral's name for it is "long non-coding RNA (LANG_LNC001254)". Lineage: Eukaryota; Viridiplantae; Streptophyta; Magnoliopsida; Fabales; Fabaceae. The record is from RNAcentral.
GCCCUUGGCAUAAUGCAGCCCCUUGUCAAAUGACCUAAAAUAAAGCAAAAUUUCAGAACUUCAGAUGACCUAUAGACAUUGUCAUAAACCUUAAACAGAGAAGCUCUGUGUCCUCACAUGGGAAUUUUGUUAGUUAAAAAGUGGGAAAAAGAACAAUUUUGUUUGAAAUAGUUUUACUCUUUUUUUUAUUUCUCUAUCAUUCUUGUAUAUGCUUUACCAUCUUUAUGACCCCACAAAACUCUGAAUCCUUUCAUGGAUGUGAGAUAAGGAGGGGCUUAUAACUCAUAAGAGACUCU